This 1433-nucleotide long non-coding RNA is filed under the name Cottoperca gobio. Its description in RNAcentral is "lncRNA (ENSCGOG00000021041.1)". Lineage: Eukaryota; Metazoa; Chordata; Actinopteri; Perciformes; Bovichtidae. The record is from RNAcentral.
UGAAUAGUGACGGUUUUGUCCAAACCUCAAAAAUAUGUAAAAAGAGAGAAAAUCCUCACACUUGAGUUUAGUUUACCGACUGCAACACUGUUACUCAGACGUCUCUAUGAUUAUGGAUCAAUGGACACUGUUUUAUGUUCUGCUUCUGCCUCUGUGUUUGUGCUUUGGCUCUGAAGGGACUGAAGUGAAAACUAUUGGAAGUGGAUCAGAUGUCACUACAAUAUGCAGCAAUACUACACGGAUCACCAUCACACUUCUAGUGUGUCGGAUCAGAACAGAGAGGAGUGGAGACGAGUGUCGUCUGCUGUAUGAACAUGGAGGGGGCUUUGAGAGCGAGUGUGACUCCAGGUUCUCACUCAUGAUGGAGAAUCAGACUGUUUUUCUUCACCUGACCAGUUUAACACCAGUGGAUAGUGGGAACUACACCUGUGAAUGCACACACUCAGGGAACCACUACUCUCCGUCUGAAUAUCACUGUAGAAGAGGAUGAAGACGGCAGCAGUUCAACACAGAUGCAGAUUCCGAGUGUUUUGAUCGUCGUACCUACAGUCAUCGUUAUAACUGGAGUUCUCCUCGGGUUCAUCUACAGAGGAAUACGUCAUGGGUGAGAGACUACUGUAACGUUCAAAGGAAUGCUUCUUAAAUGAAUAGCACUCUCAAAAAUAAUUUUAAUAUAUCCAUUGUGGUAUUAAAAUGCACUUUCAGUUGCAUAUGAAAUAAUGAAGGAAGACACCUUUCAUUUCCUGAUCUAUCUAUAGAACAAGACAACACAAAGCAGGAAGAACCAGCAUUAAUAUUCAUAACUAACGCGUUGUUGUUUGCCCCAACAGAAGACAACCACCGAGCAGUCGUCCAAACACGGUAAUGUUCUGACAAAUGUAACACCUUCAUUUAUGUGGCUCAUUUAAAUGUGUAUCUUCUUUACUUUUUAUCCAUGCGUCUCUCUGCAGGAGCCAGAAGACAUAGAGCCGUACGGCACCUUCAUGCAGAAAGAGAGCGAGCUUUAUUCAACGCUCAGAAUAAAUGUCUGUGACACGAGUAACUCAAACAUGUCGACCACAGAGGACACAUUCAGGACAUGAUUAUAACAGCUGUUGUCCAGCAGGUGGCCCUGUUUAGCUUCCUGACUGUAUCCUUAGUAAGUUUAAAGUCUAAAAUGUUAAAUUACUCUUAUUAUGUUACACUGUAAUAAUGAUCAGAAUCAUCCAAUUAUUUUACAAAUAAACAGUUAAAACUAAGUUGUGUCUUUUUUAAUAUGUCUUUAUUUAUUAGUUUCUGAAUAUAAACAAACAACAAAAUGCACUUUUCAUAUUAAGGCUUUGUCGAUGUGCAAUGAGAUUUCUUUUUUUUAAUGACAGAACAUUCAUUCUAAUGCAAGUUUUUGUUAUUAUUAUAUAAUAUUAAUGUUAUUAUAUGAUUAUUGUAGCAGGGGA